AAUAAGCUAAAUAAGAGCGUAUGGGGAAUGCCUAGGCUCUCAGAGGCGAUGAAGGACGUGAUAAGCUGCGAAAAGCUGCGGGGAUUGGCACAUACAAAUUGAUCCGCAGAUAUCCGAAUGGGGCAACCCAGCAUGUUGAAGACAUGUUAUCCGUAAGGAGGCGAACCCGGAGAACUGAAACAUCUAAGUACCCGGAGGAGAAGAAAACAAAAGUGAUUCCGCUAGUAGUGGCGAGCGAACGCGGAAUAGCCCAAACCAAUAUUGUUACGGCAAUGUUGGGGUUGUAGGACUGCGAUAUUUGAGUCAAAGUGAAGUAGAACUGUUUGGAAAGACAGACCAUAGAUAGUGAUAGUCUAGUAUACGUAAGCGAUGAUAAGAUAGCAGUAUCCUGAGUAGUGCGGGGCACGUGUAACCCUGUAUGAAUUAGUCGGGACC
Molecule: ribosomal RNA, 435 nt
Filed under: uncultured Flavobacteriaceae bacterium
Lineage: Bacteria; Pseudomonadati; Bacteroidota; Flavobacteriia; Flavobacteriales; Flavobacteriaceae
Description: bacterial LSU rRNA
Rfam family: Bacterial large subunit ribosomal RNA
Source: RNAcentral